This is a long non-coding RNA of Magallana angulata, 543 nucleotides long. RefSeq lists it as uncharacterized. The transcript is spliced from 3 exons. The record is from RefSeq and is a predicted model, not a curated record. NCBI's taxonomy places the organism in Eukaryota, Metazoa, Mollusca, Bivalvia, Ostreida, Ostreidae.
GUCACCUAACAAUUUCUCUCUCUCUCUCUCUCUCUCUCUCUCUCUCUCUCUCUCUUAUUCAACUUUGAAUACAAACUGUGAUUAUAUUUUAAAUAUAUAUUUAACUAUUUUCAUACAGUGUUGGAAAGAAUUGCAUGCAUUGGUUUUGAAAAAAUUUGGAGUCUUCAAGCCAAAAUCAAUAACAAGAAUUGGUUAUUGCCAUGGCCACUAUUUAUCCAUAACAGAGCCAAAAAAGAGCCAAUCAUGGCUGCACUAGAGGAAUAGAUGGGACAAAAUAUGAAUGAAGGUGUGCGCUAUUUCAAAGAUGUUUUGUUUGGAGAUUUUCGUUGUCUCCCUUGUUUGGAAUUGGCCAUUAUUGGAAGCUGAACGUAAUCUUUACCCUAUGAAUUAAUUUAUGUUAUACAUGUAUUUGUAAAGAUAAUGUUCAUUAAAUUGUCCACUCCAAUUUAUAUGUUGUUGAUUUGUAACUAUUAUACUGUAUUGAUUGUAUUUUAUUUAAACAUUGUUUGAAAUUUAUUUAGGGUUUUUUUUUUCAAUGAAAUA